CUUAGGCUGGAUGUGACCCAAGGCCACAGUUUGCUGAGCCCUCAGGACAGUUUGCUGAGCUCUGAGUCCGAAAGAAUUGCAAAGCAGUUUUCCGGAUGAAGGAUGUCGACUUCCACCCCCAUCCCUGUUAUGUGACUCGUACAAAAGAAUCUAGAGAUCGAAGUUGAAAGAAAGGUCUGUUCUGAUCAUCACACAACUCUAAUUUCCAUAAAGAAUUAUUCACCUAGUUAGAUGCCACUGCCUCCAAGAAGCCUCGCCCAUCACAAAGCUACAAGCAAUCUCUCUUGACUCUGACCCUCCACAGGAAUUCUGCAUCUCACCAAUAUGCCAUAUUCAGGCUUGCCUUAUGCUUCGACAGGCAUGUGCCUCAUCCUCACCACCUCGUCUGCAUCCUUGAGAGCAGGAUCCAGGUCCCGCUCAUCUUUACAGUGUCCACAGUGUCCAGAACAGUGCCUCUCAUGAAGCAGGGGCUGGCCAAAUGCAUCAUGCAUGAACAAAGCAGCUCCUUCCUCUGACUCUGGGACUCAAGGAACUGGAAUAAGCACAGAUAUUUAGCAUUAUAAGCCAUGAUGUUAUUGCACGGGACUGCCUCUCUCGUUAAGAUUAGAAGAACACAAAAGACCUUAGCUUCCUUCAUAAUAAAAAUUCAGACAAAAUCAGCAGCAGACUUUUCCACGGGGCUCAUGAAGAGCAGCAGAAACAAGGAAGGCUUGAUGAACUGAAUGCCAAAGAGAAACGAUGUCAUUGCAAAUAGGAAGACAGAAUGCCAUUUGCAAAAUGAUCCUGAAUUAGCAUCUUGCUUGUCCACAAUGGAGUCCUGCAUUUAGAACACUGCUGGGCUCUGAAGUCAGCUAGAAGACACAAGGGAAGCCACAGCGAGUUGACU
RNAcentral lists this long non-coding RNA (886 nucleotides) under Equus caballus (horse). RNAcentral describes it as "lncRNA (ENSECAG00000047612.1)". Lineage: Eukaryota; Metazoa; Chordata; Mammalia; Perissodactyla; Equidae. The record is from RNAcentral.